Molecule: long non-coding RNA, 281 nt
Filed under: Mytilus galloprovincialis (Mediterranean mussel)
Lineage: Eukaryota; Metazoa; Mollusca; Bivalvia; Mytilida; Mytilidae
Source: RNAcentral
UUAAGGUGGUACCCAACACUUUCACUAAAAUUAAUUUGGCUCGUUUAAUUUUCAUAAAAUUUUGUCAAAGUAUUUACUUUAACCCUUUAACAAAAAUAUAAAAAAAUCAAAAAAUUUGAACCAACCGUUUUGUCAGAAAAAUUACACUGGUUAUAUAGCAGUUUGACAAACACCAAUUUUGAUCAUCGAGAAGCUUAAUAUUGCUUUUACAACACAACGUAAUUAAAACGUUUAGCUGACUUUACAGAGUUAUCUCCCUGUAGUGUUAGGUACCACCUUAA